AACGAACGCUGGCGGCAUGCCUAACACAUGCAAGUCGAACGAGAACUUCGGGUCUAGUGGCGCACGGGUGCGUAACGCGUGGGAACCUGCCCUUAGGUUCGGAAUAAUUCACCGAAAGUUGGACUAAUACCGGAUAAUGCCUUCGGAGCAAAGAUUUAUCGCCGUUGGAUGGGCCCGCGUUUGAUUAGCUAGUUGGUAGGGUAAAAGCUCACCAAGGCGACGAUCAAUAGCUGGUCUGAGAGGAUGAUCAGCCACAUUGGGACUGAGACACGGCCCAGACUCCUACGGGAGGCAGCAGUGGGGAAUAUUGGACAAUGGGCGCAAGCCUGAUCCAGCCAUGCCGCGUGAGUGAUGAAGGCCUUAGGGUUGUAAAGCUCUUUUACCCGGGAUGAUAAUGACAGUACCGGGAGAAUAAGCUCCGGCUAACUCCGUG
RNAcentral lists this ribosomal RNA (433 nucleotides) under uncultured bacterium. Its description in RNAcentral is "partial 16S ribosomal RNA". It matches the Rfam family "Bacterial small subunit ribosomal RNA", at positions 29 to 507 of the family's 1533-position model. The record is from RNAcentral.